CGCGGCGCAAGUGUUCGGCGGCGGCACCCCCACCGUCGACCGGUGGGAGAUCGCGGUGCUGCACCGUGACCACCGCUCGGGGCGGGGCGCCGGCG
This 95-nucleotide transfer RNA is filed under the name Mycobacterium sp. MFM001. Its description in RNAcentral is "tRNA-Ser". Lineage: Bacteria; Bacillati; Actinomycetota; Actinomycetes; Mycobacteriales; Mycobacteriaceae. The record is from RNAcentral.